Monomorium pharaonis (pharaoh ant) is the source of this 950-nucleotide long non-coding RNA. RefSeq lists it as uncharacterized. The transcript has 3 exons. Lineage: Eukaryota; Metazoa; Arthropoda; Insecta; Hymenoptera; Formicidae. The record is from RefSeq and is a predicted model, not a curated record.
AGAGACUCUUAGGCUGACGAACACAACAAGAAAAAUAGGAGGUUGGAGCACCAUCUCCAUCUAGAUGAGAUUGAAAAGGAAGGAGGCUGGAAAAUCCGUGAACUCAAAUCGAAGACUAUCUUCACGUAACUGCAUAUAAACGAGAUUUUCCUGUUUACUUGUAUGAACUGUUGCUGAUCAAAAUAUUUAAAAAAGAACAAGAAAAGAUAAGAUAAAGACGCGAAUCGUAAAACGUAUACGGACAUAAGUACAAAAACAAAUGUAUAAUAAUGUGUUAAGCAUUACAUAUUUCCGUUCCAUAAAAAUUAUAUAAUUUGAAUACUGUAUUGCAUUGAAUUAUUGACGACAUUUAACUAGGAUGCUAUAGGUACUUCGCGACCUGAUUCCAUGUAAAUAAUAACGGCCCGUUGUAUCAUCAAAAAUGAAUAGUCCGUUCCCGCUACCACCAGGAUUGUUGCAGAAGCCGUCCUCGUGUUCGUCAGCACAAAAAGUGCGAUUUGGUAAUGAUGUGAUUUCAUAAUAGGAUUUAAUUGCGUUAGACAAUCCUUGGAAACAAGUCGCCUGUAAUUUGUAAAUAUAAUAUAAUAUUCAUCUAAUCUUUAUUUGUAAUAUUUGGUUUUAUAAUGAUAGCAUGGAAUUUGUCAAUGUUAUCGUACUGUUAGGGUUUCAAAAUUGUUCGGAAUUUUAUUAUUUUAACCGCGUUCAUGAAAAUUGUUUGUACCAUAUAAUUGACGAUCGCGCUUAUUAAUUACUUAAUCAUUCGAAAAGUCGAUCCUACUCAAGCAUUUUUAUAAAUAUAUUUGUUAUAGAUACAUGCAAUGAAUAUUGUUAUUAUAUCAAUGUGCUACGUUAGUAGUGACGUAAUAGUAACUUAAUGUAACAAAAUCGAACAAAAUCGCAAGUCGUUAUUAAUAAUGCAAGAAUAUUAAAGCACUUCUUGGAUAUAUGUA